This 215-nucleotide ribosomal RNA is filed under the name uncultured bacterium. RNAcentral's name for it is "partial 16S ribosomal RNA". It matches the Rfam family "Bacterial small subunit ribosomal RNA", at positions 324 to 530 of the family's 1533-position model. The record is from RNAcentral.
AAACGAAUUGCCCUUCCUACGGGAGGCAGCAGUGGGGAAUAUUGCACAAUGGGCGCAAGCCUGAUGCAGCCAUGCCGCGUGUAUGAAGAAGGCCUUCGGGUUGUAAAGUACUUUCAGCGGGGAGGAAGGUGCUGAGGUUAAUAACCUCAGCAAUUGACGUUACCCGCAGAAGAAGCACCGGCUAACUCCGUGCCAGCAGCCGCGGUAAUAAGGGC